Molecule: ribosomal RNA, 1743 nt
Filed under: Triticum aestivum (bread wheat)
Lineage: Eukaryota; Viridiplantae; Streptophyta; Magnoliopsida; Poales; Poaceae
Description: partial small subunit ribosomal RNA
Source: RNAcentral
AUGGACGUUGAGAGCUCCGCGGCGCAUGAGGUCUCCGUCGACUGGCGGGGCCGCCCCUGCGAGCCGGGCCGGCACGGCGGCAUGCGCGCCGCCGUCUUCGUCCUAGGCAUCCAGGCGUUCGAGAUCAUGGCGAUCGCGGCGGUGGGGAACAACCUCAUCACGUACGUGUUCGGGGAGAUGCACUUCCCGCUGUCGGAGGCGGCCAACGUGGUGACCAACUUCGUGGGCACCAUCUUCCUCCUCUCCCUCCUCGGCGGCUUCCUCUCCGACUCCUACCUCGGCUGCUUCUGGACCAUGCUCACCUUCGGCUUCGUCGAGCUAUCGGGCUUCAUACUACUGUCAGUGCAAGCACACCUUCCGCAGCUGAAGCCGCCGCCGUGCAACAUGGCGUCCAUGGACGGCAGCUGCGAGCAGGCCAGGGGCUUCAAGUCCAGCAUCUUCUUCGUCGCGCUCUACCUGGUGGCGCUCGGCAGCGGCUGCCUCAAGCCCAACAUGAUCGCGCACGGCGGCGACCAGUUCUCCGGCUCCGACAAUGCCAAGAGUCUCUCCACCUACUUCAACUCCGCCUACUUCAGCUUCUGCCUCGGCGAGCUCGUCGCGCUCACAGCGCUCGUCUGGGUGCAGACGCACUCCGGGAUGGACGUCGGCUUCGGCAUCUCCGCCGCCGCCAUGGCCGCCGGCCUCAUCAGCCUGGUGUCCGGCGCGGCCUUCUACCGGAACAAACCUCCUCAGGGCAGCAUCUUCACUCCUAUUGCAAGGGUGUUCGUCGCCGCCUUCACCAAGAGGAAGCAAAUCUGCCCUACCAAUACUGGCAACGCCGGAGUUGGCGAGCCGGCACGCCUCGCCGGCAGCUUCCGCCACGGCAACAAAUUCAGGUUCUUGGACAAGGCGUGCGUCAGGGACGCGGCGCAGCAGCAGGGGGGCAACACGAAGCCGGAGAGCCCAUGGCGGCUGUGCACGGUGUCCGAGGUGCAGCAGGCCAAGACCCUCCUCGCCGUGACGCCCAUCUUCGCCUGCACCAUCGUGUUCAACACCGUGCUGGCGCAGCUGCAGACCUUCUCGGUGCAGCAGGGCAGCGCCAUGGACACCGUCCUCGGGGGCGCCUUCCGCGUCCCGCCGGCGUCGCUGCAGGCCAUCCCCUACGCCAUGCUCCUCCUGCUCGUCCCGGCGUACGAGCUCCUCCUCGUCCCGUUCAUGAAGAGGCUCACCGGGACGCGCUCCGGGAUCACCCCGUUGCAGCGCAUCGGGGUCGGCCUCGGCACCGUGGCCUUCUCCAUGGUCGCCGCCGCCACCGUCGAGCGCCGGCGCCGCGACCUGUCGGCGUCCGGGGGGCGGAUGUCCGUGCUGUGGAUCGUGCCGCAGUUCCUCGUGUUCGGGGUGUCGGAGAUGUUCACCGCCGUGGGGCUCAUCGAGUUCUUCUACAAGCAGGCCUGCGCCGGCAUGCAGUCCUUCCUCACCGCGCUCACCUACUGCUCCUACGCCUUCGGCUUCUACCUCAGCUCCGUGCUGGUGACCACGGUGAACAGGGUCACGGCGAGGCACGGCGGCGCCGGCGGCUGGCUCGGCGACAACGACCUCGACAAGGACAGGCUGGACCUCUUCUACUGGAUGCUCGCUGCGCUCAGCGUGCUCAACUUCUUCUGCUACCUGGUAUGUGCAAGGUGGUACAACUCUGGUGCCGAUGGCUCUGAUGCUGCCUCGGCUCAGAUUGCAGCAGAGGGUGAUGCCAAGGAGAUCAGCUGA